AUACAGAGGGUGCGAGCGUUAAUCGGAAUUACUGGGCGUAAAGCGCGCGUAGGCGGCUUAUUAAGUCAGAUGUGAAAUCCCUGGGCUCAACCUAGGAACUGCAUCUGAUACUGGGUAACUAGAGUUUUGGAGAGGUAAGUGGAAUUUCCGGUGUAGCGGUGAAAUGCAUAGAGAUCGGAAGGAACACCAGUGGCGAAGGCGACUUACUGGCCAAAAACUGACGCUGAGGUGCGAAAGCGUGGGUAGCAAACGGGAUUAGAUACCCUAGUAGUCC
Molecule: ribosomal RNA, 274 nt
Filed under: uncultured bacterium
Lineage: Bacteria
Description: partial 16S ribosomal RNA
Rfam family: Bacterial small subunit ribosomal RNA
Source: RNAcentral